UACGAAGGGGGCUAGCGUUGCUCGGAAUCACUGGGCGUAAAGCGCACGUAGGCGGCUUUCUAAGUCAGGGGUGAAAUCCUGGAGCUCAACUCCAGAACUGCCUUUGAUACUGGAGAGCUUGAGUCCGGGAGAGGUGAGUGGAACUCCGAGUGUAGAGGUGAAAUUCGUAGAUAUUCGGAAGAACACCAAAGGCGAAGGCACCAUCCUGGGGAGUCACUGACGCUCGGGUGCGAAAGCUAGGGGAGCGAACGGG
This 253-nucleotide ribosomal RNA is filed under the name uncultured prokaryote. RNAcentral describes it as "partial 16S ribosomal RNA". It matches the Rfam family "Bacterial small subunit ribosomal RNA", at positions 524 to 776 of the family's 1533-position model. The record is from RNAcentral.